CCUACGGGUGGCUGCAGUGGGGAAUAUUGGGCAAUGGGCGCAAGCCUGACCCAGCAACGCCGCGUGAAGGAAGAAGGCUUUCGGGUUGUAAACUUCUUUUAUCAGGGACGAAGCAAGUGACGGUACCUGAUGAAUAAGCCACGGCUAACUACGUGCCAGCAGCCGCGGUAAGACGUAGGUGGCAAGCGUUAUCCGGAUUUACUGGGUGUAAAGGGCGUGUAGGCGGGAGUGCAAGUCAGAUGUGAAAACUAUGGGCUCAACCCAUAGCCUGCAUUUGAAACUGUACUUCUUGAGUGCUGGAGAGGCAAUCGGAAUUCCGUGUGUAGCGGUGAAAUGCGUAGAUAUACGGAGGAACACCAGUGGCGAAGGCAGCUUACUAAACUGUGACUGACAUUGAUGCUCGAAAGUGUGGGUAUCAAACAGGAUUAGAUACCCUUGUAGUC
Molecule: ribosomal RNA, 443 nt
Filed under: uncultured bacterium
Lineage: Bacteria
Description: partial 16S ribosomal RNA
Rfam family: Bacterial small subunit ribosomal RNA
Source: RNAcentral